This 155-nucleotide non-coding RNA is filed under the name Pseudomonadota bacterium. RNAcentral's name for it is "6S RNA". It matches the Rfam family "6S / SsrS RNA". From Rfam's summary of the family: E. coli 6S RNA was the first non coding RNA to be sequenced, but its function was unknown until recently. It consists of 184 nucleotides that fold into an extended hairpin structure with a large single-stranded internal bulge. Lineage: Bacteria; Pseudomonadati; Pseudomonadota. The record is from RNAcentral.
GGCGGGCUGCCCGGUGCGUGAGAGAAUUUCCCAGGGCCCUAUACCGAUCUCCAUGGGAGCUGUCCCUGGCCGGAGCCGUGGCUUCGGACAUACGGCGCCCACCUACAUCAAGUAGGACCCGGGAUCGCACCUCUCACGGCCAUGGCGGCUUCGCC